RNAcentral lists this ribosomal RNA (253 nucleotides) under uncultured bacterium. RNAcentral describes it as "partial 16S ribosomal RNA". It matches the Rfam family "Bacterial small subunit ribosomal RNA", at positions 524 to 776 of the family's 1533-position model. The record is from RNAcentral.
UACGUAGGGGGCUAGCGUUGUCCGGAUUUAUUGGGCGUAAAGAGCGUGUAGGCGGCCAGAUAGGUCUGCUGUGAAAACUCGAGGCUCAACCUCGAGAUGUCGGCGGAAACCAUUUGGCUAGAGUCCGGAAGAGGAAAGUGGAAUUCCUGGUGUAGCGGUGAAAUGCGCAGAUAUCAGGAAGAACACCCGUGGCGAAGGCGGCUUUCUGGGACGGUACUGACGCCGAGACGCGAAAGCGUGGGGAGCGAACAGG